RNAcentral lists this unclassified non-coding RNA (379 nucleotides) under uncultured Acidobacteriota bacterium. RNAcentral describes it as "uncultured Acidobacteria bacterium contains 16S-23S intergenic spacer region". Lineage: Bacteria; Pseudomonadati; Acidobacteriota. The record is from RNAcentral.
UCCGGUUUGUCACCGGCAGUCUCGCAUGAGUCCCCAACUAAAUGCUGGCAACAUGCGACGGGGGUUGCGCUCGUUGCGGGACUUAACCCAACAUCUCACGACACGAGCUGACGACAGCCAUGCAGCACCUGUGCAGGGACUCCGAAGAGGGGCCGUGGUUUCUCACGGCUUUCCCCUGCAUGUCAAACCUGGGUAAGGUUCUUCGCGUUGCGUCGAAUUAAACCACAUGCACCACCGCUUGUGCGGGCCCCCGUCAAUUCCUUUGAGUUUCAGUCUUGCGACCGUACUCCCCAGGCGGAAUGCUUAUAGCGUUAGCGACGGCACCCGGGGACUAUCUAACCCCGGACACCAAGCAUUCAUCGUUUAAGGCUAGGACUAC